CAAUAGCGUAUAUUAAAGUUGUUGCAGUUAAAAAGCUCGUAGUUGGAUUUGUGGCGUACGGUGUGUUCCGGGCACUUGUUGUCUGAGUAACCUGCUGUUGCCAUCCUUGGGUGGAACCUGUGUGGCAUUAGGUUGUCGUGCAGGGGAUGCCCAUCAUUUACUGUGAAAAAAUUAGAGUGUUCAAAGCAGGCUUAUGCCGUUGAAUAUAUUAGCAUGGAAUAAUGAGAUAGGACUUUUUUGCUAUUUUGUUGGUUUGCGCAAAGAGGUAAUGAUUAAUAGGGACAGUUGGGGGUAUUCGUAUUCCAUUGUCAGAGGUGAGAUUCUUGGAUUUUUGGAAGACGAGCUACUGCGAAAGCAUUUACCAAGGAUGUUUUCAUUAA
Molecule: ribosomal RNA, 380 nt
Filed under: uncultured eukaryote
Lineage: Eukaryota
Description: partial 18S ribosomal RNA
Rfam family: Eukaryotic small subunit ribosomal RNA
Source: RNAcentral